Small nucleolar RNA from Amazona collaria (yellow-billed parrot), 200 nucleotides. Its record names the gene SNORA74. It matches the Rfam family "Small nucleolar RNA SNORA74". From Rfam's summary of the family: U19 belongs to the H/ACA class of snoRNAs. snoRNAs bind a number of proteins (including dyskerin, Gar1p and Nop10p in the case of the H/ACA class) to form snoRNP complexes. This class are thought to guide the sites of modification of uridines to pseudouridines by forming direct base pairing interactions with substrate RNAs. The record is from Ensembl. NCBI's taxonomy places the organism in Eukaryota, Metazoa, Chordata, Aves, Psittaciformes, Psittacidae.
UCCAGUGGUAGUCAGCUGUCCAGGGCGGUAUGCCUGUGAUAGUGUUACACUGCUGGGAGAUAAAUAUCAGUCAUUUCUUCUUGCUGCUGUUGUCACCAUUAUGGAGACAGCUAAUGCCAAAAAGAAGUGUUGAUGUGCUUCCCUGAGAGUGCGCUAAAGAAUUGCUUUCCCUCUUUAGUGCUAGUCUGGGAGCAUACAUA